CAUGCAAGUCGAACGAAGGCUUCGGCCUUAGUGGCGCACGGGUGCGUAACGCGUGGGAAUCUGCCCUUGGGUUCGGAAUAACAGUGAGAAAUUACUGCUAAUACCGGAUGAUGUCGAAAGACCAAAGAUUUAUCGCCCGAGGAUGAGCCCGCGCAGGAUUAGCUAGUUGGUGAGGUAAGAGCUCACCAAGGCGACGAUCCUUAGCUGGUCUGAGAGGAUGAUCAGCCACACUGGGACUGAGACACGGCCCAGACUCCUACGGGAGGCAGCAGUGGGGAAUAUUGGACAAUGGGCGAAAGCCUGAUCCAGCAAUGCCGCGUGAGUGAUGAAGGCCUUAGGGUUGUAAAGCUCUUUUACCCGGGAUGAUAAUGACAGUACCGGGAGAAUAAGCCCCGGCUAACUCCGUGCCAGCAGCCGCGGUAAUACGAAGGGGGCUAGCGUUGUUCGGAAUUACUGGGCGUAAAGCGUGCGCAGGCGGUAAUGUAAGACAGUUGUGAAAUCCCCGGGCUCAACCUGGGAACUGCAUCUGUGACUGCAUUGCUGGAGUACGGUAGAGGGGGAUGGAAUUCCGCGUGUAGCAGUGAAAUGCGUAGAUAUGCGGAGGAACACCGAUGGCGAAAGGCAAUCCCCUGGACCUGUACUGACGCUCA
RNAcentral lists this ribosomal RNA (650 nucleotides) under uncultured bacterium. Its description in RNAcentral is "bacterial SSU rRNA". It matches the Rfam family "Bacterial small subunit ribosomal RNA", at positions 54 to 749 of the family's 1533-position model. The record is from RNAcentral.